RNAcentral lists this ribosomal RNA (221 nucleotides) under uncultured beta proteobacterium. RNAcentral describes it as "partial 16S ribosomal RNA". It matches the Rfam family "Bacterial small subunit ribosomal RNA", at positions 980 to 1206 of the family's 1533-position model. The record is from RNAcentral. Lineage: Bacteria; Pseudomonadati; Pseudomonadota; Betaproteobacteria.
CUUGACGUGUCAGGAAGCUCUUGUAAUGAGAGCGUGCCCGCAAGGGAGCCUGAACACAGGUGCUGCAUGGCUGUCGUCAGCUCGUGUCGUGAGAUGUUGGGUUAAGUCCCGCAACGAGCGCAACCCUUGUCACUAGUUGCUACGAAAGGGCACUCUAGUGAGACUGCCGGUGACAAACCGGAGGAAGGUGGGGAUGACGUCAAGUCCUCAUGGCCCUUAUG